CCCUUAGAUGUUCUGGGCCGCACGCGCGCUACACUGAUGCGUUCAACAAGUUUCCUUGGCCGAGAGGCCUGGGCAAUCUUCUUAAUAUGUAUCGUGAUAGGGAUAGAUUAUUGCAAUUAUUAAUCUUGAACGAGGAAUUCCUAGUAAACGCAGAUCAUCAAUCUGCAUUGAUUACGUCCCUGCCCUUUGUACACACCGCCCGUCGCACCUACCGAUUGGAUGUUCCGGUGAAGCCUCGGGAUGAGGACUGGUACCUUUAUUGGCAUGAGUUGUUCAGAACUUGUCUAAACCUUAUCAUCUAGAGGAAGGUGAAGUCGUAACA
Molecule: ribosomal RNA, 322 nt
Filed under: uncultured eukaryote
Lineage: Eukaryota
Description: partial 18S ribosomal RNA
Rfam family: Eukaryotic small subunit ribosomal RNA
Source: RNAcentral